This is a long non-coding RNA of Anopheles coustani, 949 nucleotides long. RefSeq lists it as uncharacterized. The transcript is spliced from 3 exons. The record is from RefSeq and is a predicted model, not a curated record. Lineage: Eukaryota; Metazoa; Arthropoda; Insecta; Diptera; Culicidae.
CUAGAAGUAACAGCUGAAAUAAUUGAGAAAGCCGCGGCAUCAAUCAGAGAACGAGACAAAAAUAACCAUAAUAAUCCUGAUGAAGUGUCACUGCUGGCUGGGCUGAAAAAGAUAGAGUCUGAAAUAGAAAAAAAGCUUACCACAAUGCAGACUCUCGUGCAACAACGACUGGACUCAUUUGAGUCCAGGAUGGAGGAGAAUUUAAUGCAUAUAGAGUCCUAUGUAGAAAGAAGACUAACUUCGCUAACGAAUGAUGUAAAAACCCAGUUUGCUUCGCAUGAGAAAACUUGUGUUUUGAAAAAGUGCCAUGUGAAAAUAAGUGUAUGUGAACCACAGGGCGAACGAAGUGAAAAAGUGAAACGGCACAAGGAUCAAACCCCAAUGCGACGUGCUAGAGGAAAGAGAAUAGUAAACCAUACCGAAAACGUUUGUCGACGGCAAGCUGCAAACAUUAUGAGCUUCCUGAAAAAUGAGAUGAUUCCAAAACUCAAUCGCCUGGAAUACGUUGUGAAACAAAACUCUGAAAAGUACAGUGAAGAUGUAAUAAGGCUUGUCGAAGAAAGAACAAGUAGUUUGGAGGAUAUCAUGACCUCUACCGGCUACUGUCGAGUUAGCGAAAUAGACACUACGCUUUGUGAGAGUGAUUGUUACGACGGGCUCGAUGGGUCAGGUUUUACCGGUUCGUGAACGCACACUGCAGUAUGUUUUGUUCAAAGUCCAUCCUCUUUUAAUGUCAUUUUUUUGUUUUUGAAAUACGCGAAGACGAUCUUUGGAACUUGCAAUGGACAAAUAAUGUUGACGUACUUGGGAGCUCCGGAUUUCGGAUUUGAUGAACUUUCGAACAACUCCCAUGAUUCGAUGCGCUGCACGAAUAAUCUUUAUAUUAAGCUUUCGUCUUUAACCUUUAAGCUUUAACGUCUUUAAAUAAAAUAACAAAAGGAAAAGGAUG